GGGGAGGAGAUGAGAGAGCAGAACCAGAACCUGGGUCAGCACAUUUUCUUAUCCUUUAGAUCAAGUUUGAUGUCAACAGGGAAGCAUUGUGAUGCCAUAAGGAUCAUCCCGUCUGCGGUGCUGAAAUGAGGGUGGCUGGCAGCUGCGAGGUGGUGAAUUGGCGCCACCGUUGGCCCUCAGCUGCAGCUGCAGCUUUGCUCUUGAUGGCUGAAUUAUUAAUAAAUGUGGAGUUUAAACAUGA
Molecule: non-coding RNA, 241 nt
Organism: Nothobranchius furzeri (turquoise killifish)
Lineage: Eukaryota; Metazoa; Chordata; Actinopteri; Cyprinodontiformes; Nothobranchiidae
Source: RefSeq, a predicted model, not a curated record